UGAUGAACAUUUGCUUCUCCUCUGGGACUCUAGAAUUUUGGUAUGGGCUAGGCAGAGGGUGACCAUAUGACCAGCCUCCAACAUGAAACUCUGGGCAUUGAAUCUCUACUGACCUGCUCGGACAGGGUUUUACUCUAUCACCCAGGCUGGAGUUCAGAGGCACCAUCUCAGCUUACUGCAGCCUUGACCUCUCAGGCUCAACAGAUCCUCCCACUUCAGCCUCCUGAGUAGCUGGGGCUACAGGCGCGCACCACCAUAUCCCGCACUGGGGAAGAAGCAUUUCUAACAGGAGCCUGCAUGCUGAGGAUGGCAGAGGAAAAAGACAGAGCCACUCUGAGCCCUUGGAGAUGCCACUGAGGAGCUACGCUAACCAAUCCUGGAGGCACCAUAACCUAGGACUUCUUAUUAUACAAGAAUGCUAGAGAGCAGUCUUCAGCCUGAGACCCAUCUCUAGCUUCUAACAACUCAGUAUACUCCUAUGAUCAAAAUUUGGAGCAUAUUUGUUUCUCUCUACCUGAUUUCUUCAGACUGUGGAAACUAUUUGAAUCAAACUUGACUUAUGGAUCCAAUAAAGCCCUUGGAAAAACUGGCCUCAUAUUUUGUGUACACAGUCCCUGUACAGGGUUUCUGACUUGUGUACGCAGCGCACUGUCCAGUGAUCCUCAAGAGGAGGGGUUUUAUUUUCUAAAAAGGCAUCUACGGAUGAAGAAGAGCACUGACCGUGGUGGGAGAUGACCUGGGUGGAGUACAGACACUGCCUCUUCAUUGCUACAUUGCUAGGUGACCUUGAACAUUUAAUCCCUUUGAGCCCAGGUUUUCUCAUUUUAAAUUAGGGCAACGGUCAUAAUAAUACCUUUCUUUCAAUGCUGUUAAAAAAUUAAGUAAAGCCCAUUAAAAUUGCAAGUACAGUUUUUCUAAAUUUCCCAUACAACUUAAUUAUCUUACUACUGAAGGCUGCACAUAUAAAAUGGGAAGUGAAAAGUUAACUGUCCUCCCAGAUAUUUUGGUAAGAAUACUAAGGUGAUGAUGAUACCAACAUAAAUAAGUAAUUUACAAGAAUAGUUCUAUAGAUUUCCGGUGUUUAAAGUUAUCUCAAAUAGGAUUUCAAAAACAUUAGCAAAUCUUGAUGUAGUCUGUAUUAUGGACUUGACACUUUUCUGAGCAUUUCAGAUAUAUUAUUUCAUUUAAUUCCAUGCUAAGCAGUAUAAUCUUAGAGAAAAUUUAGCUUUGACUUGAAAUUUGACAAAAUCAUUUAUAUGUCUGCCAUGGACUGAAUUUUUUCCACCCAAAAUUCACAUGCUAAAGUCCUAGCCCACGAUAUGAUGGUUUUUGGAAGUGGAGUCUCUGGGAGGUAAUUAGUGUUACAUGAAGUCCUGAGAGUGGGGCCUUCAUGAUGGGAUUCGUGCCCUUAUGAGAAGAGACACCAGUGUUUGCUCUCUCUUGUGCUGUCUCUCUCCCUGCGAUGUGAGGUUGCAGCAUGUUGGUGCUGUCUACAAGCCAGGAAGACACCCUCACCAGAAACCAACCAUGCUGACACUUUGAUCCUGGACUUCCAGCUUCCAACACUGGUUGGUUCUGUCUGCACUGGCCCUGGGCAACAUCUGUUGAUAGAACUUUGCUUCAUUAUAAUUGAAAAAGCAAGCAAACAUGUAUCAACAUCUGUAAACGUUUUCAUUCAGUCCACCAUGGAACUAAAAUACAUCCUAUGUUUACCAUGCCUUUAUCCUCUUUUCCACCCACCUUCAACCAACACAGUUAUUUCUAGAAAGAAUUUGGGCAAGCUUCUGCCUUUGUUCAAAUAUGCAUGUGGCCAAGAGGUAUUUUUCCUCCAUUUUUUUUGAAAGAAACCUAAUGAGUUUUUUUCUCAUCCUCUCUAUUAAAUUAUCAAUUCCUUGAAAACAGUAUCAUUCUUGUUAUUGAGUGAUAUGCAAAUUAUAGUGUAUUUGUAUAUCUUGGACACUCAACACAUGUCUGUUAAAUUGUGUCAAAUUUUUUAAAAGGGGACCUCAGAUCAGUUUUGGCUUAGAAGAAUGGUGGAGUUGGGAGGGGGGUGAGCCCAAACCCGAGGCCUUGAGAACAAAAUGCAGGGAAAACCAAAGCGCAAACAACAAGGCCAAGUCCCAGGGCAAGAGAAGCAGCCUGAAAUAAGGAGUCAUUUGAAAUUGGAGGG
Molecule: long non-coding RNA, 2170 nt
Organism: Pan troglodytes (chimpanzee)
Lineage: Eukaryota; Metazoa; Chordata; Mammalia; Primates; Hominidae
Exons: 8
Source: RefSeq, a predicted model, not a curated record